This 425-nucleotide ribosomal RNA is filed under the name uncultured bacterium. RNAcentral's name for it is "partial 16S ribosomal RNA". It matches the Rfam family "Bacterial small subunit ribosomal RNA", at positions 354 to 796 of the family's 1533-position model. The record is from RNAcentral.
GUGGGGAAUAUUGGGCAAUGGGGGAAACCCUGACCCAGCAACGCCGCGUGAAGGAAGAAGGUUUUCGGAUCGUAAACUUCUAUCCUUGGUGAAGAUAAUGACGGUAGCCAAGAAGGAAGCCCCGGCUAACUACGUGCCAGCAGCCGCGGUAAUACGUAAGGGGCAAGCGUUGUCCGGAAUGAUUGGGCGUAAAGGGCGCGUAGGCGGCCUGGUAAGUCUGGAGUGAAAGUCCUGCUUUUAAGGUGGGAAUUGCUUUGGAUACUGUCGGGCUUGAGUGCAGGAGAGGUAAGCGGAAUUCCCGGUGUAGCGGUGAAAUGCGUAGAGAUCGGGAGGAACACCAGUGGCGAAGGCGGCUUACUGGACUGUAACUGACGCUGAGGCGCGAAAGUGUGGGGAGCAAACAGGAUUAGAUACCCUGGUAGUCC